CGGUGAAUACGUUCCCGGGUCUUGUACACACCGCCCGUCACACCAUGGGAGUCAGCAACGCCCGAAGUCAGUGACCCAACUCGCAAGAGAGGGAGCUGCCGAAGGCGGGCAGGUAACUGGGGUGAAGUCGUAACAAGGUAGCCGUAUCGGAAGGUGCGGCUGGAUCACCUCCUUUCUAAGGAA
RNAcentral lists this ribosomal RNA (183 nucleotides) under Enterocloster bolteae. Its description in RNAcentral is "[Clostridium] bolteae partial 16S ribosomal RNA". It matches the Rfam family "Bacterial small subunit ribosomal RNA", at positions 1360 to 1533 of the family's 1533-position model. Lineage: Bacteria; Bacillati; Bacillota; Clostridia; Lachnospirales; Lachnospiraceae. The record is from RNAcentral.